Molecule: non-coding RNA, 45 nt
Organism: Culex pipiens (northern house mosquito)
Lineage: Eukaryota; Metazoa; Arthropoda; Insecta; Diptera; Culicidae
Source: Rfam
CAAAUGGCCUUUUUCAGGGCCACCAUUUUUUCAAGAAACAGUUGU